AAGAGUUUGAUCCUGGCUCAGAACGAACGCUGGCGGCGUGCUUAACACAUGCAAGUCGAACGCGAAAGGGACUUCGGUCCCGAGUAGAGUGGCGCACGGGUGAGUAACGCGUAAGUAAUCUACCCCUGUAUCUGGAAUAACCCACCGAAAGGUGAGCUAAUACCGGAGUUUAUCUUGAUGCGAAUGAUGAUAAAGAAAGGUGGCCUCUUCUUGAAAGCUACUGUACAGGGACGAGCUUGCGUACCAUUAGCUAGUUGGUAGGGUAAUGGCCUACCAAGGCGACGAUGGUUAGCGGGUCUGAGAGGAUGAUCCGCCACACUGGAACUGGAACACGGACCAGACUCCUACGGGAGGCAGCAGUGAGGAAUAUUGCGCAAUGGGGGCAACCCUGACGCAGCGACGCCGCGUGGAUGAUGAAGGCCCUUGGGUCGUAAAAUCCUGUCAGUGGGGAAGAACCGCCGGGUGGUUAAUACCUGCCUGGUCUGACGGUACCCACAAAGGAAGCACCGGCUAACUCCGUGCCAGCAGCCGCGGUAAUACGGAGGGUGCAAGCGUUGUUCGGAAUUAUUGGGCGUAAAGCGCGUGUAGGCGGUUUGCUCAGUCAGAUGUGAAAGCCCUCGGCUUAACCGGGGACGUGCAUUUGAAACUGGAAGGCUUGAGUACGGGAGAGGAUAGUGGAAUUUCGAGUGUAGGGGUGAAAUCCGUAGAUAUUCGAAGGAACACCGGUGGCGAAGGCGGCUAUCUGGACCGAUACUGACGCUGAGACGCGAAAGCGUGGGGAGCAAACAGGAUUAGAUACCCUGGUAGUCCACGCCGUAAACGAUGGGUACUAGGUGUUGGGCGUCAAAACUCAGUGCUGAAGCUAACGCAUUAAGCACCCCGCCUGGGGAGUACGGUCGCAAGACUAAAACUCAAAGGAAUUGACGGGGGCCCGCACAAGCGGUGGAGCAUGUGGUUUAAUUCGACGCAACGCGAAGAACCUUACCUGGGCUUGACAUCCCUCUGAUCGACUCUUAGCCGAGUCUUCCCUUCGCUGGAUCGGAGACAGGUGCUGCAUGGUUGUCGUCAGCUCGUGUCGUGAGAUGUUGGGUUAAGUCCCGCAACGAGCGCAACCCUUGUGUUUAGUUGCCAACAGGUUAAGCUGUGCACUCUAAACAGACUGCCGUGGAUAACACGGAGGAAGGUGGGGAUGACGUCAAAUCAUCAUGCCCCUUAUGAUCUGGGCUACACACGUGCUACAAUGGUCGGUACAACGGGCAGCGAAAGAGCGAUCUGGAGCGAAUCCUAAAAAGCCGAUCCCAGUUCGGAUUGCAGGCUGAAACUCGCCUACAUGAAGUUGGAGUUGCUAGUAAUCGCGAAUCAGAAUGUCGCGGUGAAUGCGUUCCCGGGUCUUGUACACACCGCCCGUCACACCAUGGAAGUUGGGGGCGCCCGAAGCCAGUGGUCCAACCCGUAAGGGAGGAAGCUGUCGAAGGUGAAACCAAUGACUGGGGUGAAGUCGUAACAAGGUAACCA
This 1515-nucleotide ribosomal RNA is filed under the name uncultured bacterium. Its description in RNAcentral is "partial 16S ribosomal RNA". It matches the Rfam family "Bacterial small subunit ribosomal RNA". The record is from RNAcentral.